AAAGCUUUAAGUUAAUUAAACUAUUAACCUUCAAAGUUAAAAAUAUAUUUUAUAUAAGCUUUA
RNAcentral lists this transfer RNA (63 nucleotides) under Liorhyssus hyalinus (hyaline grass bug). RNAcentral describes it as "tRNA-Trp". RNAcentral also lists the same sequence under 3 other names. Lineage: Eukaryota; Metazoa; Arthropoda; Insecta; Hemiptera; Rhopalidae. The record is from RNAcentral.